This 517-nucleotide ribosomal RNA is filed under the name uncultured bacterium. Its description in RNAcentral is "bacterial SSU rRNA". It matches the Rfam family "Bacterial small subunit ribosomal RNA", at positions 501 to 1016 of the family's 1533-position model. The record is from RNAcentral.
CUACGUGCCAGCAGCCGCGGUAAUACGUAGGUCCCGAGCGUUGUCCGGAUUUAUUGGGCGUAAAGCGAGCGCAGGCGGUUUGAUAAGUCUGAAGUUAAAGGCUGUGGCUCAACCAUAGUUCGCUUUGGAAACUGUCAAACUUGAGUGCAGAAGGGGAGAGUGGAAUUCCAUGUGUAGCGGUGAAAUGCGUAGAUAUAUGGAGGAACACCGGUGGCGAAAGCGGCUCUCUGGUCUGUAACUGACGCUGAGGCUCGAAAGCGUGGGGAGCGAACAGGAUUAGAUACCCUGGUAGUCCACGCCGUAAACGAUGAGUGCUAGGUGUUGGAUCCUUUCCGGGAUUCAGUGCCGCAGCUAACGCAUUAAGCACUCCGCCUGGGGAGUACGACCGCAAGGUUGAAACUCAAAGGAAUUGACGGGGGCCCGCACAAGCGGUGGAGCAUGUGGUUUAAUUCGAAGCAACGCGAAGAACCUUACCAGGUCUUGACAUCCCUCUGACCGCUCUAGAGAUAGAGUUUUC